Molecule: ribosomal RNA, 253 nt
Filed under: uncultured bacterium
Lineage: Bacteria
Description: partial 16S ribosomal RNA
Rfam family: Bacterial small subunit ribosomal RNA
Source: RNAcentral
UACGUAGGGGGCAAGCGUUGUCCGGAAUUAUUGGGCGUAAAGAGCGCGUAGGCGGUCCGAUAAGUCGGCUGUGAAAACCACGGGCUUAACUCGUGGCCUGCAGUUGAGACUGUCUGGCUUGAGUGUGGGAGAGGAGAGUGGAAUUCCUGGUGUAGCGGUGAAAUGCGUAGAUAUCGGGAGGAACACCGGUGGCGAAGGCGGUUCUCUGGGCCUUACCUGACGCUGAGGAGCGAAAGCGUGGGGAGCGAACAGG